UAAAAAAAUGUUUUUGAAGUUUUCUCUGUUUUGAAACUAUUUGAAUGCUUUUGAAUAUGUAAAAUUUUCAGAUCUAAAUCAGAUUUUGGAGGACUUCUCAGAAGACUCUUGGAAGACUCUCGAAAGACUUCUUGGGAAUUUUUCUAAUGCAUUUUAUGUUAGAAGACGUCCCAUGAAGUUUUCAAGGAGUCUUCCAAAGUUUUCUGCUCGAAGUUAUACAAAUUUUGGAUAUGUAUUGUGUGUUUUAUAUAUUAGAUUCUAAAAAAUUAUAGAUUCAGC
This 279-nucleotide long non-coding RNA is filed under the name Brassica napus (rape). Its description in RNAcentral is "long non-coding RNA (BNAP_LNC020703)". The record is from RNAcentral. Lineage: Eukaryota; Viridiplantae; Streptophyta; Magnoliopsida; Brassicales; Brassicaceae.